Xiphias gladius (swordfish) is the source of this 483-nucleotide long non-coding RNA. RefSeq lists it as uncharacterized. The record is from RefSeq and is a predicted model, not a curated record. The transcript has 3 exons. Lineage: Eukaryota; Metazoa; Chordata; Actinopteri; Istiophoriformes; Xiphiidae.
GCUCAUCAACUUGUGUUCGGAGGCUAGGGGUUGUUAGGGACGUCUGUAUUCACAUAUUUUCUCAGUAAAUCCCCACAGCAGAUUGAUAUUCAGGUCGUAGGGAGGAGUAACUAUCCCUGGAGUCUACUGGAGAAAUGGUUUUGUUUAAUUUUAAUGGGUGGGUGCAAAGGACAGGCAUCCAAGAUAAGUUAAGCCAAACACCUACAGGGGCAGAAAUAAUGGAAACUAAAUUCAGACUACUGCCAUUGUAUGAUUCUCAUAUCAUUUGUUAAGGAUACUGAUUCUGUAUCAAACAGAGUAUAGGGCAUCCCAUCUGAUUCAAGCACCUGGUUCUGGAUAUCUGAGCUCCCCAGGUCAUCUCAUCUCAUCUCAGGGGUAACAGUGAGGCAGGUCUGUCCCUGCUUUGAACCAGGAGGAUGCAUGUCAAAGAUGCAGGUGUAGCAGCCUUCGUCGCGGAAGCCCACCCUGCGGAUGGUGAUGGCC